RNAcentral lists this ribosomal RNA (367 nucleotides) under uncultured organism. Its description in RNAcentral is "bacterial LSU rRNA". It matches the Rfam family "Bacterial large subunit ribosomal RNA", at positions 2099 to 2465 of the family's 2925-position model. The record is from RNAcentral.
CUUUACUGUAGCCUGGUAUUGGGUUCGGGCUUUGACUGCGCAGGAUAGGUGGGAGACUAUGAAGCUGCCCUUGUGGGGGCAGUGGAGUCAUCAGUGAGAUACCACUCUGUCAAGGCUAGAAUUCUAACCGUCUGCCGUUAUCCGGCGACGGAACAGUAUCAGGUGGGCAGUUUGACUGGGGCGGUCGCCUCCUAAAUGGUAACGGAGGCGCGCAAAGGUUCCCUCAGGCUGGUUGGAAAUCAGCCGAAGAGUGUAAAGGCAGAAGGGAGCUUGACUGCAAGAGCAACAACUCAAGCAGGGACGAAAGUCGGCCUUAGUGAUCCGACGGUGCCGUGUGGAAGGGCCGUCGCUCAACGAAUAAAAGUUA